Podarcis lilfordi (Lilford's wall lizard) is the source of this 69-nucleotide non-coding RNA. Lineage: Eukaryota; Metazoa; Chordata; Lepidosauria; Squamata; Lacertidae. The record is from the annotation of a GenBank genome assembly.
GCUGUGGCUCAGUGGUUGAGCAUCUGUUUUGCAUGCAGAAAUCCCCAGGUUUAAUACCCAGCAUCUCCA